This 2425-nucleotide long non-coding RNA is filed under the name Capsicum annuum. Its description in RNAcentral is "long non-coding RNA (CANN_LNC022016)". Lineage: Eukaryota; Viridiplantae; Streptophyta; Magnoliopsida; Solanales; Solanaceae. The record is from RNAcentral.
AAAUGGUUGUUGUUUUGAGGUUAUCAACAGCAAACAUUUGAGUAAGCCACUUAAUUUCUUUCUGUUCAAGUUUUUCUUUUUGUCUUACUAACUUCCUUUAAUUUCUUUCUGUCCAAGUUAUUUUUCUUUUUGUCUUACUUCCUAGCCAGUGAGUUUUGGAAUACACAAUCACUGGAGUGACUUCAUGAAUUACCUGAAUCUGCCUCUGCAGAAACUUCACGUAUUCGACUGCUUCUUCCAACAUGUCGGCUGUGUUGGUUUGCUGUGGAUGGAAAAACUCAAUGUCAGUCAUGAAUUUACUGUGUACAAUAAGAACAGCACAGACAACUAGCGAUAAAUCAGUCAAUCUAUUUGCAGCUACGCUCACUGUAAAGUGGUGCAAGUAUUGAGAUUCUUUCUGUUUCACCCCAAAUCAGCCGAGAUUUAUCAUCUUUUUAUAACAAACCUUAGUUUUACCAUUUCAUUAUUAAUAGAAGAAAAUCAAUUUUACCACCCAUAAAACACCACAUAAUUGUAAGAUAGCUUUUCUUCUUUGUUCUGUACCUUCUAAACUGCUGAUCCUCAUUAAGCACAUAUAUGACAUCUUGGCCAGCACAAAAUAUCCAAAAUGAACAAGGCACUGUUUCUUAGUGAAGUCAAACAUUAAGGAUCCCAUAGACAUGACAUAAAAAUUAGGGAUAAAUCAGGACAUCAGCCAAAUUAAUAUUGAGGUCUAAAAGAAGUUCAAUGGUGCAGGCUCGACAAAUGAUAUACCAGCGAAAAGGUGGAACAGAGAGAGAGAGAGAGGGAGCCAAAGGUAAAAGGAGAGAAGAAUGAGAAAGAUAAGAGAUAAUAAAGAGGGGGUGUUGUACUACUCAAACUCUUAAGAUAUGUUGUGAAGUAAAAUCUAAGCUAUCAUAUCCUCCAAUCUUAAAUGCCCGUCAAUGGAAGAACAUUCUAAAUUACUUCUCAAAAUCUAAAAUAUUUUGGUCUGCAUUCAGGCGGAAAGAGACAUUUGGUGUGCAUUCUAUGAAGAAGCAGGCGAAUGCUCUCUUUGCUCUUACUAUGAUAAGAAUUCAUUCCUUUGUUAGAGUAGGUAAAGACUCAUUUAUACACUUAGAAUAAACAUUUAUGGAUUCUUUAAUCCAGAUUUAAAUUAUAGAUCAAAUCAAGAUGUACUUGGUGAUAUUAGUGGUCAUUGCUUAAGUUCACUUGAUCCAUUAGAUAAAAGCUCUUUUUUUUUUGACAAGGGAGAUAAAACUCAUUUUUUACAAAGUAAAGACUCAUCUAUAUACCUAGAAACAAUAACAUAUAUGGAUUCUUAAUCCAAGACUUAGAUUAAUUGAUCAGGGAAUCAAGAGUCAAGACAUACUUUGUGAUAUUAGUGGUCAUUGCCAAAGGUUUGGGUGUGGUGGGUGUCUUUGGUCUCUGUGUGUAUGUUCCUACUUGGUGGGUUUCCUAUUUCUUAGUCCUUAUUUCGUAGUGCUCUUAUUUCUCUUAUCUCGCAUUUUCUAUGAUUUCUAUUUUUGUUAUUUUAUUCCUUAUUUCUAUUAUGUCAUUCAUCCUGCUGCUUGUUUCAUUACAACCUUGUUUACUAUUCUUUAUCUUGAGCCGAGGGUCUAUCGGAAACAAUCUCUCUAAUUCUUCGGAGGUAGCGGUAUGGACUGCGCACAUCUUACCCUCCCCAGACCACACUUUGUGGGAACACACUAGGUUUGUUUGUUGUUUGUUGAUUGCCAAAGGUUAAGCAAUUGAUCUAUUGGUAGGAUUUUUGAAGUGUGAGAAUGUAUUGUUUCUUAAAUAUGGCUUUCAUUUUAUCCUACAUCGUAACGGAUGUUUGACCAAAAUACUUCCUUUGGAAUGAUAUUCUGACCGUACUUUUUGGCAUUCCCGACAUGUUCAUCCUGUCACAGAACAUAUCUAACAUAUCAAACAACUUGGAGUAAUCUUCUAACAUCAACAGCAACAACAACAAACCCAGUAUAUUCCCACAUAGUGGGGUCUAGGGAGGGUAGAGUGUACGCAGUCCAUACCACUACCUCAAAAGAGGUAGAGAGGUUGUAGUAAUCUUCUAACGUAUCUUUUUUUUUUUUUUGAGAAUUCAAUCUUCUAACAUAUAUAACCAAUCAAUCUUAUCUAGUUUGCCUAACAUCUGUCCUUUACUUCAACAGGCAACAAGAAGGUUGAGAUUUGACAAAAUCGAGACUGGAGCUUCGUUUAGCAAAAACUCAGUUUUUUAUGUUAAAUGGCUAUUGUGAGUUCGUCACAAAUGGAUUAGCAUAAGCAAAGGAGGCAUUCAACGAGGAUAAACAGAAUUUAUCUUAUUCCUUACAAUUUCAAAAGAUCAGAUCAAUUCUAAUGAUGGUUGAACUUAUGCGAAUAGGUAAGAACUUAUCUCUCAAAUGGUGAGUAAUGAGUAUUACAUUGAGUAAUGGGAGGGACCCAC